GGCGAGAUGGCCGAGCGGUCUAAGGCGCUAGAAUCAGGAUCUAGUACGAAAGUGCGUGGGUUCGAAUCCCACUCUCGUCA
This 80-nucleotide transfer RNA is filed under the name Coprinellus micaceus. It matches the Rfam family "tRNA". From Rfam's summary of the family: Transfer RNA (tRNA) molecules are approximately 80 nucleotides in length. Their secondary structure includes four short double-helical elements and three loops (D, anti-codon, and T loops). Lineage: Eukaryota; Fungi; Basidiomycota; Agaricomycetes; Agaricales; Psathyrellaceae. The record is from Rfam by way of RNAcentral.